CAGCAACUUCCGGACGCUUUCUUUAAGUUAAAGCCACACGGCGGUUCCGGUCUCUUAGCCACGGGGAUAGCUCUAAGGUCUGCCCUGCGCAGGACAGCAGACAGCGUGAGCUUCUACAUACAACCUUUCCCCCAAGCCUCUGAAUAAAGUGCUUCAACAA
This is a long non-coding RNA of Rattus rattus (black rat), 160 nucleotides long. RefSeq lists it as uncharacterized. The transcript is spliced from 2 exons. NCBI's taxonomy places the organism in Eukaryota, Metazoa, Chordata, Mammalia, Rodentia, Muridae. The record is from RefSeq and is a predicted model, not a curated record.